CUACGGGUCGCUGCAGUGGGGGAUAUUGCACAAUGGGCGAAAGCCUGAUGCAGCAACGCCGCGUGAAGGAAGAAGGUUUUCGGAUUGUAAACUUCUAUCAGCAGGGACGAAAAUGACGGUACCUGACUAAGAAGCCCCGGCUAACUACGUGCCAGCAGCCGCGGUAAUACGUAGGGGGCAAGCGUUACCCGGAAUUACUGGGUGUAAAGGGUACGUAGGCGGUCUGAUAAGUCAGAUGUGAAAGCCCGAGGCUCAACCUCGGGACUGCAUUUGAAACUGUCAGACUAGAGUACAGGAGAGGUAAGCGGAAUUCCUAGUGUAGCGGUGAAAUGCGUAGAUAUUAGGAAGAACACCAGUGGCGAAGGCGGCUUACUGGACUGUAACUGACGCUGAGGUACGAAAGCGUGGGGAGCGAACAGGAUUAGAUACCCCAGUAGUC
This 439-nucleotide ribosomal RNA is filed under the name uncultured bacterium. RNAcentral's name for it is "partial 16S ribosomal RNA". It matches the Rfam family "Bacterial small subunit ribosomal RNA", at positions 339 to 795 of the family's 1533-position model. The record is from RNAcentral.